AUUGAACGCUGGCGGCAUGCCUAACACAUGCAAGUCGAGCGGGGGAAGGUAGCUUGCUACCGGACCUAGCGGCGGACGGGUGAGUAAUGCUUAGGAAUCUGCCUAUUAGUGGGGGACAACAUCUCGAAAGGGAUGCUAAUACCGCAUACGUCAUACGGGAGAAAGCAGGGGAUCUUCGGACCUUGCGCUAAUAGAUGAGCCUAAGUCGGAUUAGCUAGUUGGUGGGGUAAAGGCCUACCAAGGCGACGAUCUGUAGCGGGCCUGAGAGGGUGUUCCGCCACACUGGGACUGAGACACGGCACAGACUCCGACGAGAGGCAGCAGUGGGGAAUAUGGGACAAUGGGGGUAACCCUGAUCCAUCCAUGCGGCGUGUGUGAAGAGGGCCUUAUGGUUGUAAAGCACUUUAAGCGAGGAGGAGGCUACUUUAGUUAAUACCUAGAGAUAGUGGACGUUACUCGCAGAAUAAGCACCGGCUAACUCUGUGCCAGCAGCCGCCGUAA
Molecule: ribosomal RNA, 501 nt
Filed under: uncultured bacterium
Lineage: Bacteria
Description: partial 16S ribosomal RNA
Rfam family: Bacterial small subunit ribosomal RNA
Source: RNAcentral